CCAGGGGGUUAGGGGGAGGAGCUGAAACAGGGCCCAGGGGUUAGGGGGGGUUAGGAGCUGAAACAGGGCCCAGCCAACCAGACAUUAUCAAUAUGUAGACAGAGUGUUUAACAGUCAAAAGGAUACAGUCUUACUGUCACAAGGCCAAAGACCCAGAAAGAGAUUCACCAUAGAGGGAGGAGACAUUUCUCCCUAACCACCGAUCAUCAUUUAACAGUGAAGACCCUGCUCCACAGGCCAGGUUGAUACUGUCCGUCGGUCUGGUCCGUCUGCUCUUCCUCAAGAGGAGGAAGUGGAGGACCUACGUAUUCUAUCUGGGAGGGAGGGAGAUUCCUAACCAGUGUUACAAAAGUAACACGUUACGUAAUCAGAUUACUUUUAUGAGUAACAGAGUAAAGUAACACAUUACUUUUUCAAAUUGGGUUCUAUUAUUACAGUUACUUCGACAACACAUGCGUUACUUUCAGAAUCAUCUCUCUACCAACAACCUGUCCUGUGUCUGUCUGUCUGUCCAGGUACAGAGAGCAUUAUGUCAACAACCUGUCCUGUGUCUGUCUGUCUGUCCAGGUACAGAGAGCAUUAUGUCAACAACCUGUCCUGUGUCUGUCUGUCCAGGUACAGAGAGCAUUAUGUCAACAACCUGUCCUGUGUCUGUCUAGGUACAGAGAGCAUUAUGUCAACAACCUGUCCUGUGUCUGUCCGUCUAGGUACAGAGAGCAUUAUGUCAUUGCAUAAAUAAGUUGUUCUCAUUAAUGCGGGGUCUUUCUUGGUAGAGUGAUAUCACCUAUGAGUUCCCUGAUCAUAGCUCGGCUUCAGAUAGUUAGAAAAGAAAAAGAAGCUGUACAAAAAUUAUUUGGCAAUGUAAA
Oncorhynchus tshawytscha (Chinook salmon) is the source of this 866-nucleotide long non-coding RNA. Lineage: Eukaryota; Metazoa; Chordata; Actinopteri; Salmoniformes; Salmonidae. The record is from Ensembl.